CCCUUAGAUGUCCUGGGCCGCACGCGUGCUACACUGACUGGUGCAUCAAGCCCCCUGGCCCGAAAGGUGCUGGGAAAUCUUUAAAUGCCAGUCGUGCUAGGGAUUGAUCUUUGUAAUUUUGGAUCAUGAACGAGGAAUUCCUUGUAAGCAUAUGUCACCAACGUGUGCUGAAUACAUCCCUGCCGUUUGUACACACCGCCCGUCGUUUCUUCCGACUGAUACUCAUUGUGAGUUGCAAGGACCCUUUAUUGGGAAAGUGCUGCAAAUGCUUUGUAUUGGAGGAAGAAAAAGUCGUAACA
Molecule: ribosomal RNA, 299 nt
Filed under: uncultured eukaryote
Lineage: Eukaryota
Description: partial 18S ribosomal RNA
Rfam family: Eukaryotic small subunit ribosomal RNA
Source: RNAcentral